RNAcentral lists this transfer RNA (71 nucleotides) under Patescibacteria group bacterium. RNAcentral describes it as "tRNA-Pro". It matches the Rfam family "tRNA". From Rfam's summary of the family: Transfer RNA (tRNA) molecules are approximately 80 nucleotides in length. Their secondary structure includes four short double-helical elements and three loops (D, anti-codon, and T loops). RNAcentral also lists the same sequence under 1 other name. The record is from RNAcentral.
CGGGCUAUAGUAUACCGGUAGUACGCAUGCAUGGGGUGCAUGUAGAUCGGGUUCGAUUCCCGAUAGCCCGA